Molecule: long non-coding RNA, 149 nt
Organism: Octopus sinensis (East Asian common octopus)
Lineage: Eukaryota; Metazoa; Mollusca; Cephalopoda; Octopoda; Octopodidae
Exons: 4
Source: RefSeq, a predicted model, not a curated record
UGGGGUUAAACAAGUAGUAAUAUGGAACAACCACUUUGAUGUAGCGAUUAACUUUACUUGUUAGUAUAAUUACUACUCUUAUCUCUUAAUGAGAUUUUACAACUAACUAUUUUGGUCUUUCUCUCCACACACAAACACUCACACACCUA